Strongylocentrotus purpuratus (purple sea urchin) is the source of this 72-nucleotide non-coding RNA. NCBI's taxonomy places the organism in Eukaryota, Metazoa, Echinodermata, Echinoidea, Camarodonta, Strongylocentrotidae. The record is from Rfam.
CCAGUGAAGGCCUGGUGGUAGGGUCGCUGCCCGGCAAGCAGUAGAUGGCAGGUUCAAAUCCUGCUUGUUCCA